This 640-nucleotide ribosomal RNA is filed under the name Bacillus licheniformis. RNAcentral describes it as "bacterial SSU rRNA". It matches the Rfam family "Bacterial small subunit ribosomal RNA", at positions 24 to 643 of the family's 1533-position model. Lineage: Bacteria; Bacillati; Bacillota; Bacilli; Caryophanales; Bacillaceae. The record is from RNAcentral.
GAGGGAAGGAACGGCUGGCGGCGUGCCUAAUACAUGCAAGUCGAGCGGACCGACGGGAGCUUGCUCCCUUACGUCAGCGGCGGACGGGUGAGUAACACGUGGGUAACCUGCCUGUAAGACUGGGAUAACUCCGGGAAACCGGGGCUAAUACCGGAUGCUUGAUUGAACCGCAUGGUUCAAUCAUAAAAGGUGGCUUUUAGCUACCACUUACAGAUGGACCCGCGGCGCAUUAGCUAGUUGGUGAGGUAACGGCUCACCAAGGCGACGAUGCGUAGCCGACCUGAGAGGGUGAUCGGCCACACUGGGACUGAAACACGGCCCAGACUCCUACGGGAGGCAGCAGUAGGGAAUCUUCCGCAAUGGACGAAAGUCUGACGGAGCAACGCCGCGUGAGUGAUGAAGGUUUUCGGAUCGUAAAACUCUGUUGUUAGGGGAGAACAAGUACCGUUCGAAUAGGGCGGCACCUUGACGGUACCUAACCAGAAAGCCACGGCUAACUACGUGCCAGCAGCCGCGGUAAUACGUAGGUGGCAAGCGUUGUCCGGAAUUAUUGGGCGUUAAAGCGCGCGCAUGCGGUUUCUUAAGUCUGAUGUGAAACCCCCGGCUCAACCGGGGAGAGUCAUUGGAAACUGAGAAAUUG